This 86-nucleotide transfer RNA is filed under the name Candidatus Cloacimonetes bacterium ADurb.Bin088. Its description in RNAcentral is "tRNA-Ser". It matches the Rfam family "tRNA". Rfam says of the family: Transfer RNA (tRNA) molecules are approximately 80 nucleotides in length. Their secondary structure includes four short double-helical elements and three loops (D, anti-codon, and T loops). The record is from RNAcentral. Lineage: Bacteria; Pseudomonadati; Candidatus Cloacimonadota. RNAcentral also lists the same sequence under 6 other names.
GGAGGAUUAGUCCUAAUUGGUAAGGCAGCGGUCUUGAAAACCGCCGGGUUCUGCCCAUGGGGGUUCGAAUCCCUCAUCCUCCGCCA